Molecule: long non-coding RNA, 534 nt
Filed under: Pan troglodytes (chimpanzee)
Lineage: Eukaryota; Metazoa; Chordata; Mammalia; Primates; Hominidae
Description: lincRNA
Source: RNAcentral
UGAAGGACAAUACCUAUCCUGAUAGGAUGUGAUCUUCAAGAUAAAACCCAGCUGCACCCUCAAGAGACCAUUCCACUACUCUGUCAGCUGGCAGCGUGUGAUGCAGUAUGGGGUAGAACCAGGAGAUCUCAUGGUCAUGUGCCCACUACCAGACAGCCUUCGCUGUAAACCCAAGCGGUUUCCUAGCCCAAUAGUCCUAGAUCUGCCACUUGCUAACUAGAAGGUGUCAUCCGCAGAAGAAUACCCGGAGUAUUACCAUGACUCCAGAAGAUGCCUUCAACCAAGACUCAUAAUCUGAGUGUAAGAAACCUUCAGAUAAGGUCCUCAGAGAUCCUGUGUGGGAACCAGAAGGUAUUCUGUGAAAAACAACAAUAAGAAUAACCAUAAUAACAAUAACGGCUGCAUUUAAAAGGCUCUUGCUAUAUUUCAGGCACUGGCUUUAGUACCUACAUGGAUUAUUUUGUUCAAUAUUUAUCACAACCAUAUGAGAAGGAUGCUAUUAUCCACAAUAAAUAAAUGAAAUCUGUAAACUAU